CCUACGGGAGUCAGCAGUGGGGAAUAUUGCACAAUGGGGGAAACCCUGAUGCAGCGACGCCGCGUGAGUGAAGAAGUAUUUCGGUAUGUAAAGCUCUAUCAGCAGGGAAGAAAAUGACGGUACCUGAUGAAGAAGCCCCGGCUAACUACGUGCCAGCAGCCGCGGUACUACGGAGGGUGCAAGCGUUAUCCGGAGUUACUGGGUGUAAAGGGAGCGUAGACGGCAGCACAAGUCUGGAGUGAAAUGCCGGGGCUUAACCCCAGAACUGCGUUGGAAACUGUGCAGCUAGAGUGCAGGAGAGGUAAGUGGAAUUCCUAGUGUAGCGGUGAAAUGCGUAGAUAUUAGGAGGAACACCAGUGGCGAAGGCGGCUUACUGGACUGUAACUGACGUUGAGGCUCGAAAGCGUGGGGAGCAAACAGGAUUAGAUACCCCAGUAGUC
RNAcentral lists this ribosomal RNA (440 nucleotides) under uncultured bacterium. Its description in RNAcentral is "partial 16S ribosomal RNA". It matches the Rfam family "Bacterial small subunit ribosomal RNA", at positions 338 to 795 of the family's 1533-position model. The record is from RNAcentral.